RNAcentral lists this small RNA (56 nucleotides) under Arabidopsis thaliana (thale cress). RNAcentral describes it as "ATSL097920". Lineage: Eukaryota; Viridiplantae; Streptophyta; Magnoliopsida; Brassicales; Brassicaceae. The record is from RNAcentral.
CUGAGAAAGAAACGACGUCGUUUUGUUCUAACAGAGCAGCUAAACGGGAGUUUUAA